This 90-nucleotide ribosomal RNA is filed under the name Marinobacter manganoxydans MnI7-9. Its description in RNAcentral is "partial 16S ribosomal RNA". It matches the Rfam family "Bacterial small subunit ribosomal RNA", at positions 1 to 88 of the family's 1533-position model. Lineage: Bacteria; Pseudomonadati; Pseudomonadota; Gammaproteobacteria; Pseudomonadales; Marinobacteraceae. The record is from RNAcentral.
AACUGAAGAGUUUGAUCAUGGCUCAGAUUGAACGCUGGCGGCAGGCUUAACACAUGCAAGUCGAGCGGUAACAGAUCUAGCUUGCUAGAU